GAUGAACGCUAGCGAUAGGCCUAACACAUGCAAGUCGAGGGGCAUCACAUGAAGUAGCAAUACGGAUGGUGGCGACCGGCGCACGGGUGAGUAACACGUAUGCAACCUGCCUUCAACAAGGGGGAUAACCCGUUGAAAGACGGACUAAUACCCUAUAACACAGGGGUCCCGCAUGGGAAUAUUUGUUAAAGGCAACCGGUUGAAGAUGGGCAUGCGUUCCAUUAGCUAGUUGGCGGGUAACGGCCCACCAAGGCAACGAUGGAUAGGGGAACUGAGAGGUUUAUCCCCCACACUGGUACUCGAGACACGGACCAGACUCCUACGGGAGGCAGCAGUGAGGAAUAUUGGUCAAUGGACGCAAGUCUGAACCAGCCACGUCGCGUGAAGGAAGACGGCCCUACGGGUUGUAAACUUCUUUUAUACGGGAAUAAAGUGCCCCACGCGUGGGGUUUUGCAUGUACCGUAUGAAUAAGGAU
This 476-nucleotide ribosomal RNA is filed under the name uncultured bacterium. RNAcentral's name for it is "bacterial SSU rRNA". It matches the Rfam family "Bacterial small subunit ribosomal RNA", at positions 28 to 493 of the family's 1533-position model. The record is from RNAcentral.